Molecule: ribosomal RNA, 449 nt
Filed under: uncultured bacterium
Lineage: Bacteria
Description: partial 16S ribosomal RNA
Rfam family: Bacterial small subunit ribosomal RNA
Source: RNAcentral
AACGAACGCUGGCGGCAUGCCUAACACAUGCAAGUCGAACGAGAUCUUCGGGUCUAGUGGCGCACGGGUGCGUAACGCGCGGGAAUCUGCCCUUUGGUUCGGAAUAACAGUUGGAAACGACUGCUAAUACCGGAUGAUGACGAAAGUCCAAAGAUUUAUCGCCAGAGGAUGGGCCCGCGUAGGAUUAGCUAGUUGGGGUGGUAAAGGCGCACCAAGGCGACGAUCCUUAGCUGGUCUGAGAGGAUGAUCAGCCACACUGGGACUGAGACACGGCCCAGACUCCUACGGGAGGCAGCAGUGGGGAAUAUCGGACAAUGGGCGAAAGCCUGAUCCAGCAAUGCCGCGUGAGUGAUGAAGGCCUUAGGGUUGUAAAGCUCUUUUACCCGGGAUGAUAAUGACAGUACCGGGAGAAUAAGCUCCGGCUAACUCCGUGCCAGCCGCCGCAGUAA